GGGGUAAAAAAGAAAUGAAAAGAAAAUAAAAGUAAGUGGAUGGAUAUAUGAAAAUAAUCUGCACAGCCAAACUCUUUGCUAGCUUUUCUGCUUAAAUAAAAAUUAUCAACCAUCUAGACUUUAGAACAUAUAUCCAAAGUAUAGAUGUGGGAUUGAGUUAACUGUAGAACACAUACCAAAACAUAGAUAUGGGAUUGAGUUAAAUAUCUGGAGAGAUAUUAUAAGUAUAAUGUGUAGUAGCAUCAACCAAUAUCAGUCUGAAUUGCACCACCAUCAAACAGCAGUCAACAUACUCACAGACCAUAACAAUUAAAGGCAAAAAAAAUGGAUGAUUUUUCUGUUUAUAACUUUAAUCAAUCAGUUUAUGAUCAAUGUCUCGAGUAUGUUUUAUAUAAACAUUAGAGCACUCAAGGAUAGAAAUAAAAGAGAGGGUAUUAAGAGACAGUAUAAAGUAUAUUACUGUGUAGUGUGUAGUGUGUAAAGUUGGUGAACGAGUGGUAUACCUUUG
RNAcentral lists this unclassified non-coding RNA (508 nucleotides) under Hevea brasiliensis (rubber tree). Lineage: Eukaryota; Viridiplantae; Streptophyta; Magnoliopsida; Malpighiales; Euphorbiaceae. The record is from RNAcentral.